Molecule: long non-coding RNA, 1495 nt
Filed under: Heterocephalus glaber (naked mole-rat)
Lineage: Eukaryota; Metazoa; Chordata; Mammalia; Rodentia; Bathyergidae
Description: lncRNA (ENSHGLG00000047706.1)
Source: RNAcentral
GCAGCCAAUCAGGGAAACCUACGGCCAAUUUACCCGCCAGCGUCACCAAUCAAUUGGAACGCCAAGCUCCAGCCAAUCAGGACGUCCGCCGCCGGCUGCCCAGCCAAUCAGGGUGCCCCGCACAGGGGCUCUUCCGUACGAACGUGGCGCGGGGGCUGCCUGGAGCCAUGGAGCUGAUCCCGCCGGUGGACCUGGGCACCUGGAGGGCCUCUCCAGGAGAAGUGACUCAGGCUGUGAAGGUGGCCAUCGAUGCGGGCUACCGACGCUUCGACUGCGUACUUAUACCAGAACGAGAGUGACAUAGGAGAGGGAUCCAGUGCCAGCUCCUCAAGGGCGUUGUGAGACAAGAGGACCUGCUCGUUGUCAGCAAGCCAGGGCUUCUCUCCUCCUGGAAACGUCAACGUGCCUGUGGAUCGCAGUGGCAUGGUUGUACCCAGCGACACAGACGUCCUGGACACGGAGAAAGCUGGAAUAGCUGCAAAGAGUUAGUCUCAGAAACGGGAGCUGUCACUGCUGACUCAGCACUUCCACCCAGUGUGGAAGUGAGGCUGGAGACUAGGUCGUGGCAAGGUGGCUGGAUAACGAGGUGCUCCCAUGGCAACCGGGGAGCAUGCACAGAGCCCUGUGUGGACCUUGAGGGAUCUGACUUCGGAAGGAAAAUAUAAAAGACGGUGACCACUGGACUCACCACCACCAUUUUCUCCCUCUUGCAGGGGCCUGACCUUGUGCAGGUCCAUUCCAGGAGUCAGAGCACACAGCUACUCUCCAGAGAAUCAGUGCCCAGGACGUUGGGGCUGGGGGACCUGCUGCAGCAAGGACCUCGCAGUGGGGGCUCGCACCUGCGCAGUGAGUGCAGCACCCCUCCUUGGUGGCUCCAGCUGGCGGUGGCCUGCGCCCGGCUGUCGUGGUGGCUGCAGCAGGGUGCAGAAGCCUGGCUCCCGGGACGGCCCCACCCCCCCCCCAACUCGGGCGUCCAGCGGAACGGCUGGGGGCUCCGGACCCCGCGACCCGGCCACCCCCUCGCCGACUCUGCGGACCCACCAUGCCCUCACCUCAGCAUGCCACGGAAGAGAAGCUCAGGAUCGUCCAAGUUCAGGGUGUUCGAGUUGCUUGGAGAGGUUUGGAAAGCAAAGAAUAAAUGACACAGCAAUGCAUAGUGUGUUCAUCUCCUCCCCGGUGCAAGUGUCCAGAGCUCCUGUCCCGCACUCAUGUGGUGCACGGUCUACAAGGACGGCUGGGCAGGCAGAGCAGAGCAGCUCGGUGCUACAGCCCAGUGCCCUGGCUCGGAGGCACAGCUGAGCUUUACAGCUCAGUGUGGCAGCUCUGGGUCGCACCUCACAUAAUUUGAAGACUUGAGAAACCAAAGGUCACUCAAAGAGAUGCAGAAAAACCUUCAUUACUCCAGUGGGUUUUCAGAGUUUUGCCAGAAGUGAAAGCCUCCUUAUAUAGGGAUCUACAGGGUAGGCGGCCAUGCUCACUGAAGCAGAGGGUGGGG